CACUCUGUCACUCAGGCUGGAGUGAAGUGGUGCAAUCACAGUUCACUGAAACCUUGAACUCCUGGGUACAAGGAAUCCUCCUGUCUGGAACUACAGGAAGAAGAUGAUUUUUCACCUAGUGGAGUCAUUGAACAGUGGUCUUCAAAUUGGGAUUAUUUCCAAGAAUAGAUUAAAAUGCCAUGAAAAAGAAAAAAUUAUAGAAAAGCAAAAAGAGCUGAAUGCAGUGAAUGAACAUCUGUGAAUGAAGUUGAGAAGGUAUAUGUGGGGCAGACUAGAAUUGCAGUGCACAGAUACAAGAAUGUUGCCUGCUUUGGAGCCAAGACUGCCUUCCGGAUAAAGGGCCCACAGAGAGCUGAGAGCUGUGUAAUACCUCAAAGACUGAAGAAAAGAGUUAGACAGCCAUCUUUCCUUAGAGGAUUUUGCUGCAGACAGCUUGAACUACCAGAAGGUUAUAUACUGACCAUGGGUAGAGUAAGGAAGAAAUACAUCCUUCGGAAAGGACAAUGAAGAUCUUUACAGCAGGGGGCAUAUCUCAGGGGAACCUGAUGAAAGCCAACGCACAAUGUAAGAACUUUCACUGUAAGGAAAAUUUGAAGGCCUGGCAUGGUGGUGGCUCCCACCUAUGAUCCCAGCACUUUGGGAAGUGGAGGUGGGCAGAUCACUUGAGGCCAACAGUUUGAGACCAG
Molecule: long non-coding RNA, 686 nt
Filed under: Homo sapiens (human)
Lineage: Eukaryota; Metazoa; Chordata; Mammalia; Primates; Hominidae
Description: HSALNT0114291
Source: RNAcentral